This 484-nucleotide ribosomal RNA is filed under the name uncultured bacterium. RNAcentral describes it as "partial 16S ribosomal RNA". It matches the Rfam family "Bacterial small subunit ribosomal RNA", at positions 28 to 523 of the family's 1533-position model. The record is from RNAcentral.
GACGAACGCUGGCGGCGUGCUUAACACAUGCAAGUCGAACGAUGAAGCCGGAGCUUGCUCUGGUGAAUUAGUGGCGAACGGGUGAGUAACACGUGAGUAACCUGCCCUUGACUCUGGGAUAACUGCGGGAAACUGUAGCUAAUACCGGAUACGACCCUCGGAGGCAUCUCCAGGGGGUGGAAAGAAUUUCGGUCAAGGAUGGACUCGCGGCCUAUCAGCUAGUUGGUGAGGUAACGGCUCACCAAGGCGACGACGGGUAGCCGGCCUGAGAGGGUGACCGGCCACACUGGGACUGAGACACGGCCCAGACUCCUACGGGAGGAAGCAGUGGGGAAUAUUGCACAAUGGGCGCAAGCCUGAUGCAGCAACGCCGCGUGAGGGAUGACGGCCUUCGGGUUGUAAACCUCUUUUAGUAGGGAAGAAGCGAAAGUGACGGUACCUGCAGAAAAAGCACCGGCUAACUACGUGCCAGCAGCCGCCGUAA